GUGCCAGUAGCUCAGUUGGAUAGAGCGUCGGUCUACGGAACCGAAGGUCACGGGUUCGAAUCCUGUCUGGCACGCCA
RNAcentral lists this transfer RNA (77 nucleotides) under Aminobacterium sp. RNAcentral's name for it is "tRNA-Arg". It matches the Rfam family "tRNA". Rfam says of the family: Transfer RNA (tRNA) molecules are approximately 80 nucleotides in length. Their secondary structure includes four short double-helical elements and three loops (D, anti-codon, and T loops). Lineage: Bacteria; Thermotogati; Synergistota; Synergistia; Synergistales; Aminobacteriaceae. The record is from RNAcentral.